AGAGUUUGAUCAUGGCUCAGAUUGAACGCUGGCGGCAUGCCUUACACAUGCAAGUCGAACGGCAGCACGGGGGCAACCCUGGUGGCGAGUGGCGAACGGGUGAGUAAUACAUCGGAACGUGUCCUGUAGUGGGGGAUAGCCCGGCGAAAGCCGGAUUAAUACCGCAUACGAUCUGUGGAUGAAAGCGAGGGAUCUUCGGACCUCGCGCUACAGGGGCGGCCGAUGGCAGAUUAGCUAGUUGGUGGGGUAAAGGCCUACCAAGGCGACGAUCUGUAGCUGGUCUGAGAGGACGACCAGCCACACUGGGACUGAGACACGGCCCAGACUCCUACGGGAGGCAGCAGUGGGGAAUUUUGGACAAUGGGCGAAAGCCUGAUCCAGCAAUGCCGCGUGUGUGAAGAAGGCCUUCGGGUUGUAAAGCACUUUUGUCCGGAAAGAAAACCUCGUGGUUAAUACCCGUGGGGGAUGACGGUACCGGAAGAAUAAGCACCGGCUAACUACGUGCCAGCAGCCGCGGUAAUACGUAGGGUGCAAGCGUUAAUCGGAAUUACUGGGCGUAAAGCGUGCGCAGGCGGUUCGCUAAGACAGAUGUGAAAUCCCCGGGCUUAACCUGGGAACUGCAUUUGUGACUGGCGGGCUAGAGUAUGGCAGAGGGGGGUAGAAUUCCACGUAGCAGUGAAAUGCGUAGAGAUGUGGAGGAAUACCGAUGGCGAAGGCAGCCCCCUGGGCCAAUACUGACGCUCAUGCACGAAAGCGUGGGGAGCAAACAGGAUUAGAUACCCCCGUAGUCC
RNAcentral lists this ribosomal RNA (791 nucleotides) under uncultured bacterium. RNAcentral's name for it is "bacterial SSU rRNA". It matches the Rfam family "Bacterial small subunit ribosomal RNA", at positions 8 to 796 of the family's 1533-position model. The record is from RNAcentral.